GUUGCCAGCAUUCAGUUGGGCGACUCUAAGGUGACUGCCGGCUAAAAGUCGGAGGAAGGUGGGGAGUGACGUCAAAUCAUCAUGCCCCUUACUGACCUGGGCUACACACGUGCUACAAUGGGCGGUACAAAGGGUCGCGAACCCGCAGGGGAGCCAAUCCCAAAAAGCCGCUCUCAGUUCGGAUUGCAGGCUGCAACUCGCCUGCAUGAAGCCGGAAUCGCUAGUAAUCGCGGAUCAGCAUGCCGCGGUGAAUACGUUCCCGGGCCUU
This 268-nucleotide ribosomal RNA is filed under the name uncultured Anoxybacillus sp. RNAcentral describes it as "partial 16S ribosomal RNA". It matches the Rfam family "Bacterial small subunit ribosomal RNA", at positions 1114 to 1382 of the family's 1533-position model. Lineage: Bacteria; Bacillati; Bacillota; Bacilli; Caryophanales; Anoxybacillaceae. The record is from RNAcentral.